This 500-nucleotide ribosomal RNA is filed under the name uncultured bacterium. RNAcentral describes it as "partial 16S ribosomal RNA". It matches the Rfam family "Bacterial small subunit ribosomal RNA", at positions 30 to 523 of the family's 1533-position model. The record is from RNAcentral.
AUUGAACGCUGGCGGCAUGCCUUACACAUGCAAGUCGAACGGCAUCGCGGGAGCAAUCCUGGCGGCGAGUGGCGAACGGGUGAGUAAUAUAUCGGAACGUGCCCUAGAGUGGGGGAUAACGUAGCGAAAGUUACGCUAAUACCGCAUACGAUCUAAGGAUGAAAGUGGGGGAUCGAAAGACCUCACGCUCAUGGAGCGGCCGAUAUCUGAUUAGCUAGUUGGUGGGGUAAAGGCCUACCAAGGCGACGAUCAGUAGCUGGUCUGAGAGGACGACCAGCCAAACUGGGACUGAGACACGGCCCAGACUCCUACGGGAGGCAGCAGUGGGGAAUUUUGGACAAUGGGGGAAACCCUGAUCCAGCAAUGCCGCGUGUGUGAAGAAGGCCUUCGGGUUGUAAAGCACUUUUGUCAGGAACGAAACGGUGAGGGCUAAUAUCCUUUGCUAAUGACGGUACCUGAAGAAUGAGCACCGGCUAACUACGUGCCAGCCGCCGCGGUAA